CCCGCUGAGUUUAAGCAUAUCAAUAAGCGGAGGAAAAGAAGCUUACCAGGAUUCCCCUAGUAACGGCGAGCGAACCGGGAAAAGCCCAGCUUGAGAAUUGGUCACCAUCGGCGUUCGAAUUGUAGUUUGGAGAAGCGUCCGCAGCGGCGGACCGGGCCCAAGUCCCCUGGAAAGGGGCGCCGGAGAGGGUGAGAGCCCCGUCGCACCAAGAGGCGCUGUCUACGAGUCGGGUUGUUUGGGAAUGCAACCCUAAUCGGGCGGUAAAUUCUGUCCAAGACUAAAUACGGGCGAGAGACCGAUAGCGAACAAGUACCGCGAGGGAAAGAUGAAAAUCACUUUGAAAAGAGAGUCAAAGAGUGCUUGAAAUUGUCGGGAAGGAAGCAGAUGGGGAACGGACUCUCGGCAACUGAUAUCUCGGCUCUCGCAUCGAUGAAGAACGUAGCGAAAAUAUGAUACUUGGUGUGAAUUGCAGAAUCUCGUGAACCAUCGAGUCUUUGAACGUAAGUUGCGCCCCAAGCCAUUAGGCCGAGGGCACGUCUGCCUGGGUGUCACGCAUCAUCGCCCCCCAUCCAACCAUGAGCCCUCG
This is a non-coding RNA of Gossypium raimondii (Peruvian cotton), 586 nucleotides long. NCBI's taxonomy places the organism in Eukaryota, Viridiplantae, Streptophyta, Magnoliopsida, Malvales, Malvaceae. The record is from Rfam.